RNAcentral lists this ribosomal RNA (253 nucleotides) under uncultured bacterium. RNAcentral's name for it is "partial 16S ribosomal RNA". It matches the Rfam family "Bacterial small subunit ribosomal RNA", at positions 524 to 776 of the family's 1533-position model. The record is from RNAcentral.
UACGUAGGGUGCGAGCGUUAAUCGGAAUUACUGGGCGUAAAGCGUGCGUAGACGGUUACAUAAGUCGGGUGUGAAAGCCCCGGGCUCAACCUGGGAAUUGCAUUCGAGACUGCGUAGCUAGGGUACGGAAGAGGGAGGCGGAAUUUCAGGUGUAGCGGUGAAAUGCGUAGAUAUCUGAAGGAACACCAGUGGCGAAAGCGGCCUCCUGGUCCAGUACCGACGUUCAGGCACGAAAGCGUGGGGAGCAAACAGG